Molecule: long non-coding RNA, 13917 nt
Organism: Ictalurus punctatus (channel catfish)
Lineage: Eukaryota; Metazoa; Chordata; Actinopteri; Siluriformes; Ictaluridae
Source: Ensembl
AGAGAGAUAAAUACUCUGCACUUUAUUUAUUUUGAACAUUGUUUUGUCAUCUCUGGGAAAAAACCAUCAUGAUCAUUUGUACUAUUUAUUUGUUUACAGCGUGUUGUUUUACCCGGUUGUGGAACACAUCUACUUGACACACACACACUAUGAAAACUGCAGAAGGAUACAGAUAAAUGAGUGUCUAACAUAAAGAAAACACUGUUUAAAAAAAGGUUCCCUGUCACUGUAUGACUCGCCAGCUCGAUUUUCCACUCAUACGGGGAGAAAUGCGAUUUAUUUCAUGAGCCUUUAAAGUCGAACCGAAUGUCAUGAAACGCACCGAAGUUACACACGAACCCGCCUACGGUCCGUUUAAAAAAUAAAGCCCAUCUAUUUAUUACGUAACGAUCUUAUCCGAAUAGUGUAGAGGAGAUGUGGGCGUGGCUAACCCCCCCCAAAAAACCCCAUCUGGUACAUUACAUCAAAAAGAACGUGGUCCAUGGCGAGCUUUUUAAUUACAAUCGAGCGUGUUUGAUGCAGCAGGAACGAGGAACAACUCAGGAAGUUGUUGGGUGUGUGUAAUGAGCUGAUUUGCAUAUUACACCCGAUACGAUCGCAGCUAACCGGAGAUGAUUAAAGAUGUUAAUGUAUGUGGUUACAUUUUGUUUAAUCGGGAUUCAAUCCAGACGCAAGGCGUGUAUAACAAGCAGGUGUAUACAGUGUAAACGUAUCCGUACAACGAUUGCAUAGCCGCAGUUGGUCGUCAUAGCAACAACCCGGACGUCUGAUGCUAAGCAGCGCCGAACAGUUAGCUAGUUAGCAAGUGGUCGCGAUGUCGGUUUUGCCCGUUAUGUUUUACAUAGAAUAAUUUAAAAAAACAAAACAACAAAAAAAAGAGACGGAGACGUGUUACACGAUUCAUGUUGCUUCUGGAAUUUUCCGAUGGCAAGACGAGCCAUAGACGUGAAAUCUGUUUUGUCAACCAGAAUCGCGCGUUUAGGAAUCCGAUUUCUUCGAAAAGGCAUGCAAAUCGAGCUUAAAUCCAAUUUCAUGUGGGUUUCUCAUCAAAUCUUUCUCUCCGCCCCCCCCGACUAAAAAAAAAAAAGAAAAAAAAAAGGGGAUUUCAGCUGCCUGUCUGAACAAACCCUGUGAUAGACGGGUGGAGAGAAUCCGUCGGGAGGAAUGAACAGAUUAACACAAAUUAGGUCAAAUUAGAAGGGAGUUUGUUCUCUCUUCAAUAAACGGGAGAUGGAGAGAGUUAUCACACAGAGGAGAGAAAAAAAACAAACAGAUGGAUGGGAAGGUGGAGGAGGAAGAAAGCCCCCCCCCCCCCCCAAACCCCCCCCAUGCUAACGACGACAGAAACAACACGUGCGAUGCCGCGUAAAGCGGAACGCAAAAUCAAAACGUGUUUCUCUGACCCGUCUUUCCUCUAUCUCCGUUCCUUUCUUUCUUUCUCCAGUCCUGAUCUGGCCAGGGAUUGCUAAGAGGUCACAAAUAAAGAUCAUUAGAAAAGACAGGAGUGAGGGACAGAACACUUUCCAGAGGCAGGAAAGGAGGAGAAGAUAAAUGAGACUGAGACGUAAUGGGUGAGGGAGAGAGAGAGAGAGGGAGAGAGGGAGAGAGGGAGGGAGGACAAGCCGAGUGUGUUGCUGGAAGCUUGAGUAGGAAGAAAGAGAGCCGAGAGAAAAGGGGAUCGAAGAGAGGAGCGAUGGCCGGGGAAUCACGACGAUGGAAAGAGCGAUGGGGGGAUGGGGGGACGAGACGGACGACGGCUGAAGAUUAGCUUCGAGCUACAAAUCCAAUAAGUCGGUGUUGUGUCUACGAUCUUUUAAAUUAUCGUCCUAAAAAUAGACGAUUUUAUGGCAAAGUUCGUUCUUUACUCUUAAAGCAGCAGCGAAGAGUUUUAUAGCACGAACAUCUGGAAGGGUCCAGCUGUGUACUGAGCGUACUGAUUAAAUGAAUAAUAAUUGUAAAUGCUGAUUAAGUUUGGCUGCGAUAAAGUCCCUGUGUAAACCAAGCAAGCAGAGGUUUAACCGCCAUUACAGGGGCCUCGUAAACCUUUUUCGGUAAAGUUGCGUGUAAAUGUUUUUCUCUUAAGGUAUGUUCGCGCACACAGCGUUUCUUUUUUCUCCAGCCGCUGUACUAUGAAGUCACCAGUAGGCGUCCCUACUACUGGUUGUCAUAGUAACGUUUAUCAGUGGAAUCCGCGACUACAACGAAACAUUCUGUCGGGAGAGAGCGUCUGUAUAUAAAAUUCACCCGUGUGUAGUGAUACGCAUCAUAUCCUGUGAGACGAAGUGUGCGCUUCUGGGCCACUGCGGUCCUCCAUCUGUCACGAAAGCACACGCGUAAGCGCCAGACAAUUCGGCGGAAUCACGUGCGCUCUACGAUCUUCACUCCCGCUCGCAUAAAGUUUUCUCGACCUCGUCGCGUCGCCGGACACGCCCUCGUCUAGUCGCAGACGGUCGCCGAUGCUCACGUCGUACCGGAGAUCGGCGGCGCUCGUUGAAAACGAACGGUCUCUGGUGGCUUUGUCGCCGCGAGUCGCUGUACCGUGAGUGUGAAGGGACGUCUAGGUCGAGCGGAACGGAAAAUUCCUGCUAGACCGACAGAAGCUGCAUCGAUUCCGUUCGUUCGUACUCAUGUGCGAAUGUUUACACGCGUACUCCAAAAAAAACCACACUCUAUUGCACUCUUCCUCCUUUUGUAGAGCGCCAUUACUUUUGUCCUAAUUGGAUUACUAGUUUUAUUUCUCCAAUUUAUGGAUUUGUUCCGGUUUGGUUUCUUUCAAAUUUAUAUAAACACGGUAGCUUUUUUAUACAACGUCAGAUGCGAACGUUUUUCUCUGUGUGUGUGUGUGUGUGUGUAAAUGCUCCAAAAUGUGGGAGGAGCAUACUCUCUUUCCCCCCUGUCAAUCACAGGUAGAUAGCGCUUUCCUCCGGGCGUGUUUCCAUGCAAUCCAUGCCCCUCCCACUCAGAAUACAGCCAUUUUACUACUUCUAGACACGGUUCAUGUGCACGGUUCAUAUUAGCAUGCUCUCCAGAUGAACCGAUAACAAUAUGAAAUCACCUACACUGAUAUAUCAUGUACAACAGCAUGCGCAAGAGACAGCAUGACAAAAAACCCUUAAUGUUCCCCGUCCUCUGUGUUUGAUUUGUUUCUACGGAUUUCAUCAGCUUGCGCUUGGAACACUGCGCUAGGUUCUGAUUUUGUCGUUUUAACCUCACUCUGAGAAUGACGCUGCGAGAGCACACCCUGUUUGAGGAAGGUGUCAAGCUUGGUGUACAUUACUCCUGUGUGUGUGUGUGUGUGGGGGGGGGCUGUAUGUUCUGUAGGACGUCGUUCUGAUAUGAGAACGAUCCGUCACCCUAACUAAUGCUUUACGCAUUACAUUACAGUGCUUUUCUUCUUAUUAAAGAGCUCGGGUUUUAUUUGAGAACUUUCCGACGGUCAGUCCGUUUACACGGACGACGAUGAUCCGAUACGAACCCGAUUAAGACGAUCCUCUGAUUCAGAAACUAGCAUGUAAACAGAGAUUAUUGAUUACGUUAAUCUGAGUAAGCUCGUACUCGAAGUAAACACGAACGGAAUUAAGACGUGUGGAGGAUUCCUGCUUUAGUCGCGUUAUCGGCGUGCGUUACGGACACGUACGCACCUUAAUCACACUAUUAACGUCGUGUGGGAGUUUUCACCGCAUUGUGCGACAGGACACGUACGCACACGGCGGCGCUCGACCGUUUGACGGCGAACAAGAGAGCACGGCUGCGUCCCAAACCGCGUACUUGCCUGCUGUAUAGUAGGAGAAAUACAUGUAUCUCGGCUACUAUAUAGACGGUAUGUACGUGGUUUGGGACGCAGCCCACGGCUUCAAGCAGUCGUGUAUUUGCACGUACAGCACGACAAAUAAUUAACCGCACUCAAAGCUUUCGUAAAAUUUUUAACAAAAACACCCAAAAGUGUAUACGGUCCCAUAACGAAGACCAACUGUAUGUCGAUACGUGAAAUUCUGGAGGGAACGUCGGACGGCGUGACGUGGGGACGUAAUCACGUGUGCCGUUAAUCCAUCUAUAUUCUAUAACACGUAAAACGGGAACAUGAAAGGAGUAUUCUAAAAGCCACUCAUGUAAACACCUUAAUCAGAAUAUACUGUCUUAUUCAGAGUAAGGUCAGUAAUUAGAUUACUGCUGUCCAUGUAAACGUCAUCACUGUCUUUUACAGUCUAUUACCGAGGUCCACAAUUUAUAAGACGGUGAUCCGGACGAAUACGGGUACAUACGGUACAGUACGCGUGUCGUAGAUGUCAUAACCGCAGCGUAAUUAAACGCGUCUUCUCGCGUCUAACGGACGUCUGGAAAGCGAAGACCCCUUGAUGAAAUGAUCGAACGCAAUGAAACGAGGCGUCAACAAUAACGACCGUCGAGGAGUAAACAGUAAAACGAGCAAUAACAAAUGAAAAUCGAAUCAUUCUUUAUACCCGAGUGAUUCCACAGUCGCAGCUCCGUUUAGCACUUCCGACCUAGACGCUUUCGUUUUCGUCAUUUGUUCGACAGAUUAAUUCACCGUUCAAAUUGUGCGUUGCACCGUCUCCGGCACAAAUAUAUCUCUUUUCAUUUUUUUUUUUUUUUUUUUUUUACAACCCUGCUCUUAAAUGAAUAACAAGGUUGAAAGGUUUAUUUAUUUAUUUAUUUAUUUGUAUUUAUUUAUUUAUUUAUUUCCCAGCGACGAAUUAGCAUGUACACGAUGACGUUACCUAGCAUCAAUGCUAAUAGCGUGACAGCAUCAUGGAUGUUUACAUAUAUUUUAUUUAAUUUUUUUUUAAAUGAAGUGUUUACUUUCAGUGUAUAAUGCUUGCGCGGUUUGUGUGACAGGUCGUGCGUUCAAAUCGAGCUCGUCAGCCGAUAUCGGAAACGUCACUGAAAAUAAAGAAAUCUUCAGGAAAUUCGCAUGACGCCACAUCCUGUUGUGACUUGUGGAAUGUUCCAGAUAUUUCAUAGGGGCGAUAGUCCUGGGGCCCGAAGUGGACGUUUGGUUCGUCACCUAUAAUGGAUGACUCAUGAAAAAAAGAUGAGACGUUUAAACGGAUUUGCGCGAUAAAGUUAAUCGUUAUAUUUGAAUUCAGAGAGUAUUUCUAUUGGGCUGAGCCAGGCGAAAUACUUCCAUUUAUCUAAUUUCAUCGACAUGAGAUAUGUGUGAUGAACACUUGACCUGCGUUUAAAAUGUCUAACCUUUUACAUAUCGUACAUCCUACGUUUAUUUAUUUAUACUGUAUAUAUUCCAUAUAGGAAACUGACUUAAAUGUGGUCACUUCCUUUAUACUGGUUUGUGUGUACAGUAUAUACGACGAGCUUCGGUAUGCCGACAAUGAGACAUGACGGCAGAGACACGUUGAACGAAUCGCUCUGUCUGUGCCCUCGUUCUCUCCUUCCACCCCACUGUGGCUCUCGUUCCUUUCUUUUCAUUUCGAUUUAAUCCUCGUUCCUUUACAAGGAAGACUCUAAUGCAUGUCAUUUAACUAUACCGUGUGUGUGUGUGUGUGAGAUAGAGAGCUAGCUUUUUGAAGGACACACACAGAGGGAUGUGUGUGUGUCUAUGCGGUUGAGCUAUGUGAAUAUCCUCUGAGAUCCGCUAAGCGUUUGGCUUACAUGGUGUUUAAACCCAGAAUUCAGCUCAGACUCUGAGAAUAAAGACCAUCUCUCUCUUACACACACACACACACACACACACACACACACACACACACACACACACACACACACACUUGUGAGGACCUUACAAAGACAUCAUAAUUACAGAAUGAACCCUAACCUCAGGAACCACAAGGAAUUAUUCUGCCGCUUUACCUUAUUUAUUUAUUUAUUUAGCCAAAUGUCUCCACAAGGUUGCAGUCCAGAGCACUGACUACUGAGCCAACAAUCACACCACGUCCAACCGACAUAUAAAAACAUGACCACGCACAUACAGGUUAAUUAUAUCAGAAACUGUAAGAGCUAUCCAAAAAUAAAAAUGGUUUCCGUGUGUGUGUGUGUGUGUGUGCGCCUGCACUGAACGAGCAUAUUACAUCAGCUAGGUUGCUAUCAUACUGAGAAGUUCCCUGUAACCCUGUGAAGUAAUCCAUAUUUCCUAACAAGUCAUUUUAAAACCCAGGAAAGUACUAGAAAUCCUUACCAGCACGAUUAUUAUUCAUGAUAUGCAAAUAGCGCCAUUCUGACCCCACCCCUUUCCUCCACUCUGCUGGUUAUGCAGCGCUAUUAGUGAUGUUCUACUAUCGCGCCAAAGUCGAAAUGUUUGUUCACGUACAUCAGGGAAUCCUUUCAGUACCGGGACAGCACGAAUCAUUCCUCGCUACCGCUAAUCUAUAUUUUACUGAGGUAAUGUUAGCGCUAACUCGCUGACUAGGGGCGUUGUAGUGGUAUACGAGGAACGAAACACGUGCCGGUUAUUAUACAGCAAAGGAUGAACUAUCUCCACUGGAUCACUUUGUAUAUUUUACUGAGGUAAUGUAAGCACAUAACUAUCUAGUUUACAGUUAAACAGCUCACGUUUAACACACCGCUAGCUGAGUCGUUGUGCUAGCUUACACUUGUGACCUCGACAUAGGUGGGAUUACAGUAUACAAGACUUACUAGAAUUUUCUUAGUAAAUUUACCUCAGAAUAUAGCAUAACAUUCACAAUUUUGUUCAUGACUGAUAUUAACUAAGUUAGCUAGCUAGCUAAUUGUACUAAUCAAGUGGCUAAAAAUCGUCAAACGUCAUCUCUUAUAAUUUGCAUAACAAGCUUUGGUAAAUGUACGCUCUCGCACAUUUUGUGAAAUCGCAAAGUAAGCUCUUUUUAUUUCAUUUUAUUAAAAAAAAAAAGAAAAGAAAGUAAGCCGUGUAUUUUGUGCUUUAUACGGGCCAUAGCGCUGAGUAAGAACCCCAAAGGAGACGGUACACUUAAUUGAACACUAAAUAAUAAUGUGUAAUAUUUGUAUGAGUAAUGGACCUACAGAGCACUUCCUAUCCGCACACACACACACAUACACACACAUACACACGAGUGUGUGUGGAAACCUCUGAAAUCCCUGUUGAAACAGGCGUGUGCGUUUUUGUGCCAAUUCCCCAAUCCAUGUUGUGCGAGAACUUGCCGUCUCCCGAUUGGCUGCUGGUGAUGUAAUGCUUCCUGAAAGUGUGUUUAUGAUUGGACGGGAGGUUCCUUCAAAGAACCUGCAGUAGAGAGCUUGGCAUGACGGAGUGUGGCUCGAUUAUGGCAUCCUUCAAGGCUUCUUCACGCUCUGCCCCAGUGCACUCUGGGAUGUGCCAGUCCUCUGAACAUUGCUUUGACAGGUAACCUUGAAAAACAGUCACCUAUUCCCUCCUUUGUUCACCUUGUGUCUUGUCCUGUCAAAUCUCUUGCUCACUUGUCUGAUUGCACGCACGUACACGCAUAUGUACAACCAGGAGCUGUUGACAUUUCCAGGGGUUUUUAUAACAACUGCUGUUUUAUAAUAACGUUGCUCUGUGGUGGGUGGAGUUCAGUCUAAAUUUACACACAAUGCAACAGUUCUGUUCUCACAUCAUGCUUCCUAUGGCACUGUGAGAGACGGCGGCGGAAGGGAAAUCACAGUCUUUGGUCUCAAAAUGAAUUUUGUGAUGAUUUUCUGAUCAAAUCUAGGGUGUGAAAUUUUACUCCAAGCAACCGAAUUGUGGUCCUUCGAAAAUUCCAUUCAAUUUGAUUUGUAGAGCGCUUUUAAUAACUGACGUCGUCUCGAAGCAGCUUUAGAGAAACCUAUAAACACAGGAUAGAGAUUUUAAGCGUGUGAGUUUAUCCUUAUUGAGCGAGCCGGUGGUGACGGUGGCGAGGGAAAAACUCCCUGAGAUGAUAUGAGGAAGAAACCUUGAGAGGAACCGGACUCAGACGGGAACCCGUCCUCAUCUGGGGAACGACGGAUAGUGUGAGAGUAAAAGAAAGUUCGUUAUGGGUUUUAUAUGAAGUCUGUUUGAAUUAGUCCACUGUUCAUUAAAGGAAACCUGAGAGUAAAACCGCAUGUGGUGAUUGCAAUCCCAGCAACCACAGCGAGAACGUCCAUGUGGAAUUGAGGUCCAAAACCAUCUCCAUGGUACUUCAAGCGGUACCGUCCUAAUCAAUCUCCAGGCUGUAGCCUCCAGUUGAUGAGAGCUCCAUCCAGACGUAGGGCAUCAGGAUGGACCAGGCAGGUCCGGAGAGCAGAACGGGUCAGAUGACCGGUCCAGUCAAAGAACACAACGUGCUGAAAUGGGAAAGCAUCUGAACCAUAUGAAAAACAAACCAUGUCCAAAAAGUUGAACCUUGAUGGGGAUUUUAGCAAACGCUCAGCCUUAGUUGCAGCUGAAUCUAGGGCAGUGUUUCUCAGUCCCAGUGCUGGAAACCCCACACAUCUCAUUAGUGCUUUCUGUGACCUGUGCCAAUAAACAGCUUUAUAAUUAGCUGAGUUGAAAAUAUUAGAUAUAUUGGAUAUAUUAGAUGAGGAUAAUCACAAAAACGUAACGCUGAGGUUGUUGUAACAUUCUAGGUGUCGAUUUAAGUCCCUUUCGCCCAUCAGACAAAACCUAGAAUUUAGGCGUAGGCACGGGUAGUCGACCUGAACGACCUCUAGACCGUUUAUAUGGUCUGCACUUAUAUAGCGCUUUUAUCUAAAGUGCUUUACACUGUCUCUCAUUCACCCAUUCACACACACACACACACACACACUCACACACCAAUGGUAGCAGAGCUGCCAUGCAAGGCGCUAACUUGCCAUCGGGACUGACUUGGGGUUCAGUGUCUUACCCAAGGACGCUUCUUUCGGCAUGUGGAGUCAUGUGGAAUCAUGUGGAGUCAUGGGGAGUCAUGGGGAGUCAUGGUGAGUCAUGGGGAGUCAUGGUGAGUCAUGGGGAGUCAUGGGGAGACAUGGUGAGUCAUGGGGAGACAUGGUGAGUCAUGGGGAGACAUGGUGAGUCAUGGGGAGUCAUGUGGAGUCAUGGGGAGUCAUGGGGAGUCACGGGGAGUCACGUGGAGUCACGGGGAGUCAUAUGGAGUCAUGUGUGAAUUGAACCGCCAACACUACGAUUAGUGGACAGCCCGCUCUACCACCUGAGCCACAGCCGCCCAAGCUUGGUGUCAUGGCAGUAUUAGUUAGUAUUAUAUAAUUGUACUUAAAUAUAACUGUAAUCAAAGUAUUGUAUAAUUGGAAUGGUCCAACAGAUGUGAAAUCCUUCUGGCUUUUAUUUAUUAUGAGCUUUUGGCCCCAGGGCUGAAAGUGAAAACAAUUGCUCCGAGGUACAUUUGGUUUUAUUUGGCUCUCCCUCAGGGUUCAUUCGUAUUCUUUUUCUUUCCGUUGUCCUCUCACAAUCCAUAAACUCUCGAUCAUCACCCAAGUGAAAUAUUUUAUGUCCGUGUAUGUGUGUGUGUGUAAAACAAGCACGGACGUUUGAUAAAUCCUGUGCGCCGGGCAGCUGACAUGUCUUACGCGAGCCAGCUGUAUAUCACUCGGCGUGUGAGUGUGCUGAUCUGAGCAGAAAAGCACACAAAGGCUCCCCUACCGGUUUCUUCCAAUGGUUCGAUAGAGCUUCAUGGAGAAAAAAAAAAAGGAGAGGCUGAUCCCGGUUGUCGUCUGUCUUUCCGUCGUCCAGUUCCUCCGCCGCCUCGCUCUCCUGAAGAGCCUGCGAUUAAAAAGGUCAAGCAAGCGAUGGGAGUGAAUUAAAGUCGGUGUUGUGGAGUCUUUUUCGACGUUUCGUAUUUGGACCGUGCGAAGUGAGGAGACGUUAUGAAAAUUCAAUCUCUUACUCUCUCGCUCUCUCUCUCUAUCUCUCUCUCUCUCUCGCUCCAUCGUUAGCCGAACUCAUAAAGUCUCCCUAUAAAGCAAUCGUGCUAAAGUACAUCAGCGCUGCAUGGCUCCAGUGAUGCCUCAUCUCUCCUGCAGUCAAAUGCGAUUGGCCUUUCCGCCGUCACCGUGGAGACGACAGGCUGGGUGCCGCGACGACCGGGUGCCGCCUGGCUAUGCUUUCGCUCUGUCCCUUCAAGCGUUAUGCUGAUCAGCUCACUUUCUCUUUGCGUUGCACUUUUUGAAAAAAACAAGAAUGUCCAAAUGUUUUAUUGAUGUUAAUGCCGCUUGUGCAGACGCAGAAACAUCUCUGGAAUCUUUCCCAUUCUGCAGAGUUUACUCAAGGUUUCUAUUUUAUUAUUAUUAUUAUUUUUAUUUUUUUGGUGGUGGGGAUAAUGUAAAACAUUCAGGUAUUGCAAACCUUCAUGCAUAUUUAAGCAGCACUCUCACAGUCCCCUGGUAGCUGACACACACACACACACACACACACACACACACACACACACACAUGCACUUGCUUUCUCUUCCUGUGUAGCAGCUCUCGCUUAUGCGCCUGCAAGAGCGCCCGGCUCUCCGGCUAUACCAGGCAGUAAUUCUUCAAUUUCAACAACGCAACUAGGUCAGUCUGGUCCAGCUGGAGCCUUCGUCUGACACGCGGCCAGACGAGCACUCUCUCGGCACUCAGACAACCAUUAACCAUUAGCUAAGAACAACAGCUAAUGAGCUAUUAGCGAAGCAGACACCUAGAUUACUCACUAACUAAUGGAAGACAUUAGGUGAACUUUUCACCACGUUCAUCCAUCAUGAGAAAAUCCUUCUCACCGCACUGCGGCUUAGCCUGAUUUCCAUUCGUUCAGUACAGCCCUGUGAUGAUCAAAAGUGACAAGACACUAUAUAGCGGGGAACAUUCGUAAUACAUUCGACGCACAUCCGACUAUUUCACAAGCUUUAAACCUCCCACUAGCUUGUUAUGAACUGUCUGAGAACAAGAUAGAAGUCCAGUGGCAGUUGAUUCGAUAAACGAGAGGCGGCGACUGAAAAAGCUCUAUCCGCCUUAGUUUUUAAACGGGAUCGAGGGACAUACAGAAGAAACCUCCCAAAAAAUCUGCUAGCUGAAUGUGGUGUAAGAAGAUCUUUGCGAUAAGAAGGAGCUCGAUCGUUAAGAGUUUUAAAAACACACGGCAGAAUCUUAAAACGGAUCCUAAAAUGGACCGGGAGCCGAUGGAGCGGUGCUAAAAUUGGGGUGAACAGCCUUGCAGCUGCAUUCUGAACCAUCUGGAGACGAGCAAGAGAUGACCGAGGAAGAGCCGAGUACAAUGAAUUACAAUAAUCUCAACGCGAUGGGAUAAAAGCACGAAUAACCUUCUCCGAACCUUCUCCGAAAGUUCAUAAGACUCUCAUUUUAGUUAUGGUUAGUGAUUAGUUCGUUUGUGAUUAGUACAUGUCUUAUCGCAUCAUUAGGACGUAUUUACUGUACGUAUUAAUUCAGGUCCUUAGCAUGUUCGCCUCACGCCUCCAGGGUCGGGGGUUCGAUUCCCACCGUGGCCCUGUGUGGGCGGAGUCUGCAUGUUCUCCCCGUGCUGCGGGGGUUUCCUCCGGGUGCUCCGGUUUCCUCCCCCAGUCCAAAGACAUGCAUGGUAGGCUGAUUGGCGUGUCUAAAGUGUCCGUAGUGUAUGAACGGGUGUGUGAGUGUGUAUGUGAUUGUGCCCUGCGAUGGAUCGGCACCCUGUCCAGGGUGUACCCCGCCUCGUGCCCCAUGCUCCCUGGGAUAGGCUCCAGGUUCCCCCAUGACCCUGAAAAGGAUAAGCGUUAUCGAAGAUGUAAGGAUGGAUGGAUGGUAUUAAUUCAGGUAUUGGCGUGUGAUUAUUCAUGUACUGUUAUUGUAAAGUGUUACGUGCUCAUUUUCUCGCCUUUCGCUGAGUCAGAGUCGAGAAACUCAAUGUUGUCGAGGAGCUAGCGGAGGUAGAUGGAGGGAGAAAUUUCUCCGUUUUAUUUUUUUAAAGCUGAACUCCUACGCUAGUGCAGCGUGUCAGGCUAGCAAGAAAGACCGAAAUAGCACGUCACGGUCACGUUAAAUGCGGCUCGUUAAAUGCGGAACAUGUGACAUUUCAUCAUAGUAGCACAGGAACACAUCGAAAUGCUGCUGACACCGGAGGUGGAACUGUGUGUCAGUACUUGAAACCUAGUUUAUUCGGAGAAACACUGAGAUGGUUAUCUUGAGGCAUGGGUUUGCUCACACCCCUCCCAUUUCCUAUCGUCCUACUCACCAGCAGCUAAACAAAGAGUCACGAUAUUCUGCACACAGAAACCCAACUGUGUCCUGACUCAUCUUAUAACAGACUUGCGGUGAUAAAAUAAUUCAUUUGUUUAUACUGAUUGAAAAUGUCCGAUACGUCGAUUUCCAUUCCGCCGGCUGAAUUGAAUGCCAGCGGUAAGUGGUAUGUCACACACACACACACACACACACUCUCACACACCAAUGGAAGCAGAGCUGCCAUGCAAGGUUCUAGCUUGCCAUCGGGAGCAACUUGGGGUUCAGUGUCUUAGUCAAGGACACUUUGGCAUGUGGAGUCAUGUGGAGUCAUGUAGAGACAUGUGGAGACAUGUAGAGACAUGUGGAGACAUGUGGAGACAUGUGGAGUCAGGUGGAGUCAGGUGGAGACAUGUGGAGUCAUGUGGAGUCAUGUGGAGUCAGGUGGAUUCAUGUAGGGACAUGUGGAGACAUGUGGAGACAUUUGGAGUCAUGUGGAGUCAUGUGGAGUCAGGUGGAGUCAUGUAGGGACAUGUGGAGACAUGUGGAGUCAUGUGUAGUCAUGUGGAGUCAGGUGGAGUCAUGUAGAGACAUGUGGAGUCAUGGGGAGUCAUGUGGAGUCAUGUGGAGUCAGGUGGAGUCAUGUAGGGACAUGUGGAGACAUGUGGAGUCAUGUGGAGUCAUGUGGAGUCAGGUGGAGUCAUGUAGGGACAUGUGGAGACAUGUGGAGUCAUGUGGAGUCAGGUGGAGUCAUGGGGAGUCAUGGGGAGACAUGUAGAGUCAGGUGGAGUCAUGUAGAGUCAUGGGGAGUCAUGUAGAGUCAUGUGGAGUUAAGUGGUCAUGGGGAGUCAUGGGGUGUCAUGUGGAGUCAGGUGGAGUUAGGUGGAGUCAUGUGGCCAACCCUACAAAGUGAUAAGUUCAUGAACAAGUCACUCCAAAAUUCCUGGGUCAAAUCCCAGCUUGCCUCUCUGGUCCUAUUAGUAAUUUUGCACCCCUUUACAAUUUCAUCUUGGCCUUUCCCUGAUUUAUAUCACCUCUGGCUCUGGCAUCCUUUUGCUGCCGGAUUUGAUACAAGUAAAUCUGCUCCACUCUUCUGUACUCGCAUAAUCGACUGUUAUCUACGCAUCAUUUUUCAUUAACGACUACAUAAUUACGCUCAGAGUCUUAUUUACAGCAGACGGGCGUCACGUCGCCUCAAAACCGCUCAGAAAGUUCACAUUUUCAUUCGACUUGGCACAACGUCUGAGUGUGGGUCUUCAUAGACUUUAGUACAGCCUCUGUGUCGAGUCAGAGAGAAUGCAAAUGGACUGGAAAGCAGUCAGGAGUCGAUUAGAGAGUCACUGGCCGGGUCACGGAGAGGAUUUGGAGAGAGACGCGGGAAAGAAGAAGAGAGAAAGUCAUCAUCUCUCUGGCAGUCUGACUUUUUGUGUCCUGAAGCGAUGGCUGAGGUUUAAUAAGCGUAAGGGAGGGAGGAAGUGAAACAUUUAACAUCAGUGGCAUUUUAUAAACUGCCCCACGGAACGAAUGACCCCCAUAGUCACCUCCUGUAAUUCAGACAGUGUGCUGGUCUCUCGCCUAUCUAAUGCGACUGUAAGUUUUUAAUACCCAUCAGUAAGAAUGUUUGAAGCGUGUGUGUGUGCUGAUUCAAUGCAAAAUAGACCUCUGGCAGUGUUUAUAGUGCACCUACGUGAGCGUAUAGUGUUUAUACUGCACCUACGUGAGCGUAUAGUGUUUAUAGCGCACCUACGUGAGCGUAUAGUGUUUAUAGCGCACCUACGUGAGCGUAUAGUGUUUAUAGCGCACCUACGUGAGCGUAUAGUGUUUAUAGCGCACCUACGUGAGCGUAUAGUGUUUAUAGCGCA